Molecule: long non-coding RNA, 200 nt
Filed under: Solanum tuberosum (potato)
Lineage: Eukaryota; Viridiplantae; Streptophyta; Magnoliopsida; Solanales; Solanaceae
Description: long non-coding RNA (STUB_LNC001801)
Source: RNAcentral
GUUGGUCCAAUUUGCCAGCGACUGUUGGCUGCUCUCGCCGAAGCAAAAGAGAGGAGAAGGGUCUCGCUGGUGACUCGGGGCUGUUCUCGCCGGAGCAAAGGAGAUGAGGAGCUCACUUGGUCCUCGCUUGCUUCCAUCUUCGCUGGAGAAGAGAGAAAGGAGGGGAAGAAGAGGGGCUCGGGGUUUCGAGGACAGGCGGC